AUACGAAAGGUGCAAGCGUUGUUCGGAUUUACUGGGCGUAAAGAGAGUGUCGGUGGUUUAUUAAGUCGGAUGUGAAAUCCCGGGGCUCAACCUCGGAACUGCAUUCGAUACUGAUAGGCUAGAGUUUGGGAGGGGUAAGCGGAAUUCCGUGUGUAGCAGUGAAAUGCGUAGAUAUACGGAGGAACACCUGAGGCGAAGGCGGCUUACUGGACCAAUACUGACACUGAGACUCGAAAGCGUGGGUAGCAAACAGGAUUAGAAACCCUAGUAGUCC
RNAcentral lists this ribosomal RNA (274 nucleotides) under uncultured bacterium. RNAcentral describes it as "partial 16S ribosomal RNA". It matches the Rfam family "Bacterial small subunit ribosomal RNA", at positions 523 to 796 of the family's 1533-position model. The record is from RNAcentral.